Molecule: ribosomal RNA, 247 nt
Filed under: uncultured bacterium
Lineage: Bacteria
Description: partial 16S ribosomal RNA
Rfam family: Bacterial small subunit ribosomal RNA
Source: RNAcentral
UUACGUAGGGGGCGAGCGUUGUCCGGAUUUACUGGGCGUAAAGGGUAAGUAGGCGGUAAUAUGUGUCAGAUGUAAAAGGCUAUGGCUUAACCAUAGUUAGCAUUUGAAACUGUAUUACUUGAGUGCAGGAGAGGUAAGUGGAAUUCCUAGUGUAGCGGUGAAAAUGCGUAGAUAUUAGGAGGAACACCAGUGGCGAAGGCGACUUACUGGACUGUAACUGACGCUGAGUCACGAAAGCGUGGGUAGC